This 120-nucleotide ribosomal RNA is filed under the name Clohesyomyces aquaticus. Lineage: Eukaryota; Fungi; Ascomycota; Dothideomycetes; Pleosporales; Lindgomycetaceae. The record is from RNAcentral.
ACAUACGACCAAAGGCACUUGAGAAUGACCGAUCCCGUUCGAUCUCGGAUAUCCAAGCUUGUGACCGGUCCAUUAGUAGUCGUGUGGGAGACCAGCGGCGAAUUCGGGCUGUUGUAUGUU